UGGGGAAUAUUGCACAAUGGGCGCAAGCCUGAUGCAGCAACGCCGCGUGAGGGACGACGGCCUUCGGGUUGUAAACCUCUUUAGUAGGGAAGAAGCGAAAGUGACGGUACCUGCAGAAAAAGCACCGGCUAACUACGUGCCAGCAGCCGCGGUAAUACGUAGGGUGCAAGCGUUAUCCGGAAUUAUUGGGCGUAAAGAGCUCGUAGGCGGUUUGUCGCGUCUGCUGUGAAAACUGGAGGCUCAACCUCCAGCCUGCAGUGGGUACGGGCAGACUAGAGUGCGGUAGGGGAGAUUGGAAUUCCUGGUGUAGCGGUGGAAUGCGCAGAUAUCAGGAGGAACACCGAUGGGCGAAAGGCAGAUCUCUGGGCCGUAACUGACGCUGAGGAGCGAAAGCGUGGGGAGCGAACAGGAUUAGAUACCCUGUAGUCCACGCCGUAAACGUUGGGAACUAGAUGUGGGGGCCAUUCCACGGCUUCCGUGUCGCAGCUAACG
RNAcentral lists this ribosomal RNA (492 nucleotides) under uncultured Actinomycetes bacterium. RNAcentral describes it as "bacterial SSU rRNA". It matches the Rfam family "Bacterial small subunit ribosomal RNA", at positions 355 to 857 of the family's 1533-position model. Lineage: Bacteria; Bacillati; Actinomycetota; Actinomycetes. The record is from RNAcentral.